CGUAGGGUGCGAGCGUUAAUCGGAAUUACUGGGCGUAAAGCGUGCGCAGGCGGUUUGUUAAGAUAGGCGUGAAAUCCCCGGGCUCAACCUGGGAACUGCGCUUAUGACUGGCAAGCUAGAGUACGGCAGAGGGGGUGGAAUUCCACGUGUAGCAGUGAAAUGCGUAGAGAUGUGGAGGAACACCAAUGGCGAAGGCAGCCCCCUGGGUCGAUACUGACGCUCAUGCACGAAAGCGUGGGUAGCAAACAGGAUUAGAUACCCUGGUAGUCCACGCCCUAAACGAUGUCAACUAGUUGUUGGUAGGGUAAAACCUAUUAGUAACGUAGCUAACGCGUGAAGUUGACCGCCUGGGGAGUACGGCCGCAAGGUUA
This 371-nucleotide ribosomal RNA is filed under the name uncultured organism. RNAcentral's name for it is "bacterial SSU rRNA". It matches the Rfam family "Bacterial small subunit ribosomal RNA", at positions 526 to 896 of the family's 1533-position model. The record is from RNAcentral.